GAUGAACGCUGGCGGCGUGCCUAAUACAUGCAAGUCGAGCGAACGGACGAGGAGCUUGCUUCUCUGAUGUUAGCGGCGGACGGGUGAGUAACACGUGGAUAACCUACCUAUAAGACUGGGAUAACUUCGGGAAACCGUAGCUAAUACCGGAUAAUAUUUUGAACCGCAUGGUUCAAAAGUGAAAGACGGUCUUGCUGUCACUUAUAGAUGGAUCCGCGCUGCAUUAGCUAGUUGGUAAGGUAACGGCUUACCAAGGCAACGAUGCAUAGCCGACCCGAGAGGGUGAUCGGCCACACUGGAACUGAGACACGGUCCAGACUCCUACGGGAGGCAGCAGUAGGGAAUCUUCCGCAAUGGGCGAAAGCCUGACGGAGCAACGCCGCGUGAGUGAUGAAGGUCUUCGGAUCGUAAAACUCUGUUAUUAGGGAAGAACAUAUGUGUAAGUAACUGUGCACAUCUUGACGGUACCUAAUCAGAAAGCCACGGCUAACUACGUG
Molecule: ribosomal RNA, 497 nt
Filed under: uncultured bacterium
Lineage: Bacteria
Description: partial 16S ribosomal RNA
Rfam family: Bacterial small subunit ribosomal RNA
Source: RNAcentral